RNAcentral lists this ribosomal RNA (253 nucleotides) under uncultured bacterium. RNAcentral describes it as "partial 16S ribosomal RNA". It matches the Rfam family "Bacterial small subunit ribosomal RNA", at positions 524 to 776 of the family's 1533-position model. The record is from RNAcentral.
UACGAAGGGUGCAAGCGUUAAUCGGAAUUACUGGGCGUAAAGCGCGCGUAGGUGGUUCAGUAAGUUGGAAGUGAAAUCCCCGGGCUCAACCUGGGAACUGCUUUCAGAACUGCUGAGCUAGAGUACGGUAGAGGGUGGUGGAAUUUCCUGUGUAGCGGUGAAAUGCGUAGAUAUAGGAAGGAACACCAGUGGCGAAGGCGACCACCUGGACUGAUACUGACACUGAGGUGCGAAAGCGUGGGGAGCAAACAGG